UGCAGUCGAGCGGUAGAGAGAAGCUUGCUUCUUUUGAGAGCGGCGGACGGGUGAGUAAUGCCUAGGAAUCUGCCUGGUAGUGGGGGAUAACGUUCGGAAACGGACGCUAAUACCGCAUACGUCCUACGGGAGAAAGCAGGGGACCUUCGGGCCUUGCGCUAUCAGAUGAGCCUAGGUCGGAUUAGCUAGUUGGUGAGGUAAUGGCUCACCAAGGCUACGAUCCGUAACUGGUCUGAGAGGAUGAUCAGUCACACUGGAACUGAGACACGGUCCAGACUCCUACGGGAGGCAGCAGUGGGGAAUAUUGGACAAUGGGCGAAAGCCUGAUCCAGCCAUGCCGCGUGUGUGAAGAAGGUCUUCGGAUUGUAAAGCACUUUAAGUUGGGAGGAAGGGCAGUUACCUAAUACGUGAUUGUUUUGACGUUACCGACAGAAUAAGCACCGGCUAACUCUGUGCCAGCAGCCGCGGUAAU
Molecule: ribosomal RNA, 472 nt
Filed under: uncultured bacterium
Lineage: Bacteria
Description: bacterial SSU rRNA
Rfam family: Bacterial small subunit ribosomal RNA
Source: RNAcentral